RNAcentral lists this ribosomal RNA (440 nucleotides) under uncultured bacterium. RNAcentral's name for it is "partial 16S ribosomal RNA". It matches the Rfam family "Bacterial small subunit ribosomal RNA", at positions 338 to 795 of the family's 1533-position model. The record is from RNAcentral.
CCUACGGGUGGCAGCAGUGGGGAAUAUUGCACAAUGGGGGAAACGCUGAUGCAGCGACGCCGCGUGAGUGAAGAAGUAUUUCGGUAUUGAAAGCUCUGUCAGCAGGGAAGAAAAUGACGGUACCUGACCAAGAUGCCCCGGCUAACUACGUGCCAGCAGCCGCGGUAAUACGUAGGGGGCAAGCGUUAUCCGGAUUUACUGGGGGUUAAGGGAGCGUAGACGGGAGGGCAAGUCUGGAGUGAAAGGCGGGGGCUCAAACCCCGGACUGCUCUGGAAACUGCCAGGCUGGAGUGCAGGAGAGGUAAGUGGAAUUCGUGGUGUAGCGGUGAAAUGCGUAGAUAUUAGGCGGAACACCAGUGGCGAAGGCAGCUUACUGGCGUGUAACUGACGUUGAGGCUCGAAAGCGUGGGGAGCGAACAGGAUUAGAUACCCCAGUAGUC